Molecule: ribosomal RNA, 459 nt
Filed under: Flavobacterium succinicans
Lineage: Bacteria; Pseudomonadati; Bacteroidota; Flavobacteriia; Flavobacteriales; Flavobacteriaceae
Description: bacterial SSU rRNA
Rfam family: Bacterial small subunit ribosomal RNA
Source: RNAcentral
GAGUUUGAUCCAUGGCUCAGGAUGAACGCUAGCGGCAGGCUUAACUCAUGCAAGUCGAGGGGUAUAGUUCUUCGGAACUAGAGACCGGCGCACGGGUGCGUAACGCGUAUGCAAUCUACCUUUUGCAGAGGGAUAGCCCAGAGAAAUUUGGAUUAAUACCUCAUAGUAUGUGAGAAUGGCAUCAUUUUCACAUUAAAGUCACAACGGCAAAAGAUGAGCAUGCGUCCCAUUAGCUAGUUGGUAAGGUAACGGCUUACCAAGGCAACGAUGGGUAGGGGUCCUGAGAGGGAGAUCCCCCACACUGGUACUGAGACACGGACCAGACUCCUACGGGAGGCAGCAGUGAGGAAUAUUGGACAAUGGGCGCAAGCCUGAUCCAGCCAUGCCGCGUGCAGGAUGACGGUCCUAUGGAUUGUAAACUGCUUUUGUACAGGAAGAAACACUCCCUUGUGAGGGAGC